Oncorhynchus tshawytscha (Chinook salmon) is the source of this 1504-nucleotide long non-coding RNA. Lineage: Eukaryota; Metazoa; Chordata; Actinopteri; Salmoniformes; Salmonidae. The record is from Ensembl.
CGCUUUCUCACCUUGUUUAUAUGUUAAAUCACACAACACGUCGCUUUCUCACCUUGUUUUUAUGUUAAAUCACACAACACGUCGCUUUCUCACCUUGUUUUUAUGUUAAAUCACACAACACGUCGCUUUCUCACCUUGUUUUUAUGUUAAAUCACACAACACAUCGCUUUCUCACCUUCUUUUUCUUCUUCUUCUUCUUAUUUUCCUCCUCACUAUCAGAAGAGGAUGAAGAGGAAGAGGAGGAUGAAGACGAGGAGGAGGAAGAUGAAGAACUGGAAUCCUCUUUCUUCUUCUUCUUCUUCUUCUUCUUCUUCUUCUUUUUGUCAUCCUCGCUGUCUGAAGAGGAAGAGCUUUCCGAGGAUGAAGAGGAUGAUGAACAGCCAGAGUCCUUCAAUAAAAAAAAACACUCAUUAGGGUAUUGUAGCUGUAUUACAUAAUUCAUUACAUGACACUUUUGGAGAGGAGCUCAAGUCCAAUGGCAGAAUAACACAGCUCAACUAAAUACUUGUGGGAAAGGUUGUCUGUACUGUACCACAGGGAGCCAAUGGGAACUGAGAUGAGUACCUUCUUCUUCUUCUUCUUCUUCAACUUCUUCUUCUUCUCUUUCUCCUUGCCUCCUUCUCUCUCGUCAUCACUCAGGUUUCCAGCUUCCAUUCCUUCAGGAAAAUCUCUGCCACCUUUCGUCGCGGGAAAGAAGACUAUCACCCUCAAGAUUUCCCCUUCAUAAUCUCCAUAUCUCUUCUAAGAUUUCCCCUUCAUAAUCUCCAUAUCUCUUCUGAGACAAUUCUUUUUUUUGAUUUACUUACAAAUCCCUUCUGCUGAUGCACCACCCUCCUUUGCUUUGUCUUUCUUGCACUGUGAUUGGGGAGAGGUUAUUACGACAGAGAAAGUCAUUCGGGGGAUACAGAGAGAGUUUCAAUUCAAAGUGAGGAGAGGAGUGUCCGUUUGUAGAUCUGUUUGCGUUUUACCUUGUCAUCGUCAUCACUCUCAGACGCAGAGCCCUGAGAAAAAGCGUGAGAGGUUGAAUUCCUUUGUAACUUUAACCCUUUUCAUCUCUGACGCCCUCUGCUGACACUUUCUAAGCGACACAUUUUCGACCUUACAAAACUGUAAGUCUAACAAACACACGCUUAAUACUGUUAGAAGGUAAUAACUGUGGGAUUCGGAUACACCAUGGGAUUCUAUACAUGGGAUUCUAUACGUUAUCAACGUGACUAUUGCAGAGCCAGAGAUACAGCAGGCAAGGAAAAGCUAAAUAAAUAUACACAGACUGUACGAAACAUUAGGAACACCGGCUCUUCCCGGAGUGGGUACCACUUAGGCUAAGCGGACUCGGUACGGCUUAAGUUUCAAGGUUAAAACUCUCGAAAGGCCUGUUGUUAUACGCCUCGAUGACCUCACCUUGUACGUUCUCUUGUCUUUCUUCUUCUUUUUGUCUUUCUUUUUUUCCCCUUUGCCCAAUUUCUGUCCCAGGGUACCCUCCAGUCCAGCACCCUCCUCACCU